AUGGAUUUGUGGCUGAUUUGGGUUUUCCUUGUUGCUCUGUUAAAAGGUGUCCAGUGUGAGGUGCAGCUGGUGGAGUCUGGAGGUGGCCUGAUGCGGCCUGGCAGGUCCCUGCAACUCUCCUGUGCAGCCUCUGGAUUCACCUUCAGUGGCUACUGGAUGGGUUGGGUUCACCAGGCUCCAGGGAAGGGGCUGGAGUGGGUUGCAGAAAUUAAUGGAGACAGCAGUGACACAAAGUAUACACCGUCCUUGAAGGAUCGAUUCACCAUCUCCAGAGACAAUGCCAAGAACACUCUGUACCUGCAAACGAACACUGUGAAGUCUGAGGACACCGCCACAUAUUACUGUGCUAGGCCCUCCACAGUGAGAGGAUCUCAGUGUGUUCAGUGUGUGGUGCAGCUGGUGGAGUCUGGGGGUGGCCUGGUGAAGCCUGGAGGGUCCCUGAAACUCUACAGUGUAGCCUCUGGAUUCACCCUCAGUGGCUACUGGAUGUACUGGUUGUGCCAGGCUCCCGGCAAGGGCCUGGAUUGGGUUGGAGAAAUUAAUAAAGAUAGCAGUUACACAAUGUAUGCACCAUCCGUGAAGGGCCGGUUCACCAUCUCCAGAGACAAUGCCAAGAACACUCUGUACCUGCAAAUGAACAGUGUGAAGUCUGAGGACACCGCCACUUAUUACUGUUCUAGAUACACACACA
This is a non-coding RNA of Cricetulus griseus (Chinese hamster), 691 nucleotides long. NCBI's taxonomy places the organism in Eukaryota, Metazoa, Chordata, Mammalia, Rodentia, Cricetidae. The record is from the annotation of a RefSeq genome assembly.